Molecule: long non-coding RNA, 5755 nt
Filed under: Musa acuminata (dwarf banana)
Lineage: Eukaryota; Viridiplantae; Streptophyta; Magnoliopsida; Zingiberales; Musaceae
Description: long non-coding RNA (MACU_LNC007546)
Source: RNAcentral
CUCCGGACACGAAUUCCUCUUCCGCGGGAUCCAUCGAUGGGGCACCCUCCUUUGUCGCCGCUUGCGGGGAACGGUCCCCAACUCCGGCUACCGAGCGCUGCGGAGGACCUGAUCGAGCGGAUCUGCCGGGAGAAGUCGCUACUCCCACCGGACCCCGUAGCGAGGAAGGCCCUCGCCGGCCUAGGGGAGGCCGCUGCCUUGGACGUCGUGCGGAAGGUGUCCUCCCGCAGAACCAAGAAUUUGUCUGCGCCGAUCAUGUACAUGGCUAGCCGACCGGACGCCGCCCAGGCCUCCACCCAUGCGAGCGCCUGCUUUCCCCAUUCCCCGUCCUCUGGCCCUAACUCGGUUGCAGGUGGGAAACUACGUUUUCUUGCUUUAGUUUAAACAAAAAAAUUCCUUUUUUCGUUAGAAAAGAUAGAGCUUGUUUGUCUUUCACAAACUGGGCUUCGGGGUCUUCGUUGAACUAUCGACUACCGUUUCGCUUUUGCUUCCGUAGCAGAAGAACCACAUUCGUGCACGCCAAGAUUUGAGGGGAGUUUGCCAUCGGGGCAGAUGGCAAGUCCGCAGCUCGUGGCUUUGGGCAGGCUCGAAUGAAGACUAGGGAGUGUAUCAUAUAUCUUUUGUCUUGCCUGGGCCCUUUGUGCAAGGGAGCACAAGCGAAGCGAUCUAUUAAUAGAAGAAAGCAUUAUAGAUGAUACGUCCUUCCCGAUAGAAGUUAAGAUUUUUUCGAGAAAAAUCUUCUAUUCUAUUGAGUAAAAUCAUCCCUCCUAAUCCUAUAAAUAAAUAAGAGAUAAAUAUGUUAAUGUAUUCAAGUUACUUCAUCUCACCUUUUCAAAAAAGCUUCUUCCUUUAUUGUUCUUAUCUUUUAUUAUUUCAUCUUUUUCAAUAAAACUUCUUCCCUUAUUGUUCUUAUCUUCUAUUAUUUCUAUCAUGAGAAAAAUCUCACUUGUAAAUCAUUUCUUGUAUCGAUCCAAAAUUGGUAUCCUUGUCAAGAGCACCAUCUUGCCCCCAAAUCCUUUAUUCUGUUGAGGAAAAUCCUUCCUCCUAAUCCUAUAAAUAGGAGAUGAACAUGUUAAUGUAUUCAAACUAAGCUACUUCACCUUUUCAAUAAAGCUUCUUCCAUUAUUGUUCUUAUCUUUUAUUAUUUCAGUUGAUACAUUACCUGAUCUGAAAUUAUCGAUUCACGUUUUGUUAUUAAGUCAUGUUGAACUUUCCUCAUCAUUAACCCUUCUUCACAAGGAAAAAAAGGGAGCUUACUGGCUGAUUAGCUUACUGUACGCAAUUUACAACUAACUGUGUGGACAAUGUCAAUCAUUAAGGUACAGACAUGCACAGACGAAUUUUACGACUUAUGUGCUAGAAAGUGUUGCUGCACGAUGAGUGAUUGUGUUUGGAGAAAUAGUAAAGUUGAUGAUUCCUUACUCGUAAAGGAAUCUUCAUUUUCUUCGUCAUAGCAGGUGGGAAGAUAACAUUCUGUCACAUACUUGUUUUCAUCAUGCAAUGUAUGUCUGAGGAUACAUAGAUGAACAAUUUGUAAAUGGUAGGUCAUUGAGGACCUGAAGCCCCUAUAGCUGGUUGCAUUGUGUUGGUUACAAUUUUUAGUUCGUUCAGGAUGGGAGUGGCACUUAGCAAGUUGAAUGCAUCUGAAACAAUUUUGGCUUAAUUAGCUAAAGAAUUCGUAAAGAAGAAUUCCUAAAGAAUUUUGAGGAGAUGUUAUUGCUUGUGCAGUAACAUUUUUUUUUUGACAAAGAGAAUUGGUAAUAUUAUACUAAAAGAAGUAUGAAGCUUACAUAAAACAAGAGUUAAAUCAUUUGAGAAUUUUGCAGAAGUGUUAUAUUAGCUAAGAUACCAAAAAAAAGAGAACAAAACUUAAGAAUAAAAAUUAAAAAUGCAUCUUGUUAGGUUAUGCUAAGAAUUCUAGUGGUUACAAACUUUAUAAUCAUAUCGCAAACAAAAUUGUGAUGCUAAGAGAUGUUGAGUUUGAGGAAUAAUGGAUUUGAAAUAGGAAAAGUGAUGAGCAACAUAAGAAAACUAUAUAUUUAGAAGAGGAUGCUAUAAUACAAACAAGCACCGAAAAGUCUUUAUUUGAAUCAUCACCUAGAUUGGCUAGGUCACAUGAUUCAAGAAGUCCGAUUUUAAGGAUAAAAAUAAUUCAGGAGCUAUAUGAUGUUACUUGAAUGGUCGAUACUAACAAUGAUGAGCUUUCUUUUUUUUAUCUUUUUAUACGAUAUAAUCCAUCAACCUUCAAAUAAGUUUGUAGAGAAAAAAAAGUGACAAACUAUGAAGAAGAAGAUUUGUGCUAUUAACAAAAAUAAUACAUGGGAGCUUACUACACUUCUAGAAGAUCACUAAACAAUUGGUGUAAAAUAGAUUUUCAAAACAAAAAGAAAUGCACGAGAAGAGGUGUAGAAAUACAAAGCAUGAUUGGUUACGGAGGAUUACAAAUAAGAAUAUGGGAUUGACUAUGAAGAAGUAUUUGAACCAAUUAUUCGAUUGGAGACAAUGAGAUUAUUUAUUUCCUUAGCAGCUCAAAUGAAAUAAAAAAUUUUAUAAAUGGAUGUGAAAUCAAUAUUUUUCUUAAUGGAGCUUUUGAAGAAGAGAUAUAUAUUCAAUAAUCCGUGAUUUUAAUAUUCAUGAAUAACAAGAUAAGGUAUACAAGUUAAAAAGUGCUUUAUGGGCUUAAACAAGCUCCAUGAGCAUGGAAUUCUUGGUUAUAUACUUAUUUUAUUCAAAAUAAAUUUUCUAAAUAUCAAUAUGAACAUGCUUUCUAUAUGAAAUUUAACUCUGAUAAAGAUAUCUUAUUUAUAUGCAUGUUUGUAGAUGAUUUAAUUUUUUAUAAGUAAUAAUAUCUUCAUAAUUAAAGACUUUAAACACUUUAUGAAGAAAGAGUUUGAGAUGACCACUUUGGGCCUAAUAACUUAUUUUAUCGGUAUUGAAGUUGUACAAGAUAAUGAAAGAAUUUUUAUCUCAUAAGAAAAUUAUACAAAGGAGGUUCUAAAGAAUUUUUUCAUGAAAGAUUGUCACUCUACAAAUAUACUUGUGGAAUAUGGCACCAAGUUAAACAAGGAAGGUGAAGGUAAAUAUAUUAAUCUAACUUAUUAUAAAAAUUUAGUUGGAUGUUUAAGAUAUUUGACAUGCACUCGACCUGAUAUAUUAUUUAGAGUUGGUUUAAUAAGUAGAUACAUAGAAGCUCCUAAGAUAUCUCAUUUAAAUAUUAUCAAAAGAAUUUUACUAUAUAUUAAAGGGAUAAUUGAGUAUGAAAUAUUCUAUUCAUCAUCUAAAAGGUUAGAGCUUAUUUGAUAUAAUGAUAGUGAUUACGUCGAAAGUUACGAUAAUCGAAAGAGUACAAUUGGAUUUAUAUUUUAUUUUAGUAAAACUACAUUCACGUGGUCUUAAAAAAAAUAACAUAUUAAGCAGAAUAUAUAGUAGUAUCUUCUUGUGUUUGUCAUGCAAUAUAGUUAAGAAGAUUAUUUCAAGAACUUCAUAUACCACAGGAUAAGUCAACCAAGAUUUAUGUUAGUAAUAAAUCAGUUAUUGCCUUAGCCAAGAAUCCAGUCUAUCAUGAAAGAUCAAAGCACAACAAUAUAAGAUUUUAUUUUAUAAGAGAUCAUGUCAAAAAUAAAAAAAUAAAGCUAGUUUAUAUCAAGACAAAUUAAUAAGUGAUUAAUAUAUUUAUACAAUCUCUAAUUUGAAAUAUCUUAACAACUUUGAAAGAAACUUUAUAUGUUAGAUGGAAUAAGUUCAAGGGAGGUGAAUGUUAAAUUUUAACUUAUUAAAGUAUCAUAAAAAGGUUCAGUGUAUUAAGAGAAAUAGGUUCAUUGCAUCAAGAGGAAAAAUAAAUUAACAUUACGUCACUGGCCAUAUCGUCAAGUUGGACCUCGAGAGCACAAAUACAAAUGAUUGGGCAUUACGCGAUGAGAGGAUGAACUCAUCAUUACUUGCUUUAUCUCACCUGAAGCACUUGGAUCUUAGCUCCAAUGAUUUCAGAGGAAUCUGGAUCCUGGGAUUCAUUGGCUCCUUCAAGAAACUAAGAUAACCUGAUCUAUCUCGCACAUAUUUCAUGGGAGGAAUACCUACUCGGGUGGGGAACCUUUCAAAAGCCUCUACGUUCUUAAUCUAAGAGUUGCUUUAUGUCUUUGCACCCCCUUCUUCACAACCCCGAUUGUCUCUCUCAUCUUACCUCCUUGAAGCUCAGCCAGUUAGAUCUAACCAUUGUCCCUCCAAGUGUUAAGUAUGUCUUUCGUUGGUCUCAAUAGCAUCCCAGCUUCUAUCGUCCAUGUCAUCUUUACCACCUCUUUUACCGUCUUAUCCAAAUGGUUGGAGAAUAUUAGUAGUCUUACCUAUCUUGAUAUUUUUAAUUCCGAGUUCUAUGGCAUUAUUCUUUCUACAAUUAGAGACUUAGACUCAUUUUUCUUGAUCUAGGAGGUAAUCGACUUGAGGGUAUUGUACUGAGAUCCAUUAUUGAUCUCCAUACACUAAAAGGGAAGAAAACAAGGAUAAUGUAGAUAGGUUGUUCUCAAUCAUGCAGUGUUCUCAUCUCAGGUUAGAUCAGAUCUACAGUAGAUUCUUGUUGUGAUUACUUGGGGAGAAUUUGGAUAUUGUGCACAGUGACGUGAUCUUUGUAUCCCAGUUAUUUUAUUGUGAUUGUUGCUAUGAUUUUAUGCGAGAGAUUGAGAUUUGUAUAUUCAUUAUUUUUAUAGUGAAUUAUCUCUAGUUUACCUUAUGAUUUUUACCCUUCACAUUGGAGGGGUUUUUCACGUAAAUCAUAGUGUUUUAUUUGAUUGUGAUUCCAUUUAAUUUUGUUACGUGUUACGGCUUGCUGUUAUUUAUUAUUAUAUAAAAAUUUAUUUCUCUUUAUAUCCCACCGUGGCUCCCUCACCCCUUCCCUCUCCUUCUCUGUCGCCUGAGGUCGUUAGUAUUUGUCAACCAUCAUCGAUCGAUCUUGCACUACCACCUUUUGCUCGUAACACCCUUCCCUCUAUCUCUCGCCUGGUGUAGCUACCAGAAGAGGAGAGGAGAAGAAGAAAGAAAAAAAAAAAGAGAAAUAAACAAAUUUUAUUAGAAUUAAAUUAUAAAUUAUAUGUAUAUAUAUAUUAAUUCAUAAAAAAUUAAUUUAAAAAAAUAUUUUAAGUGAUCGUAAAUAUUAAUCUCUAUUAUUAUUAUUAUUAUUAUUAUUAAAAUAAACUUCCUCCUUCCGUACGUCUGCUUUCAACGCAGCUGUCCAAAGCGACAAACCAGUUUCGUGCGGAAAGAAAAGAUUAGGAUGCUCUCCAAGUACCAUAGCAUCCGUCUACCAUGAAGCGAAUGCCAUCCAACGGUUGAUGCGUAGGACUUGCAUCCGUGGAGAAUCGAGAUGUGAGAGUGUAAGAGAACAAAUAUACUAGCUUUGGAAGUGGAUCUCUCACGUUUAUUUUUUCGAAAAGGCCGUUGUGCGCUCGGUUCUGCUGCCGCUGCUGCUUCCUUCCUAAGGAAGGAAUAGCAUCGUCGAAGCAUCCCCCCUCCGGACACGAAUUCCUCUUCCGCGGGAUCCAUCGAUGGGGCACCCUCCUUUGUCGCUGCUUGCGGGGAACGGUCCCCAACUCCGGCUACCGAGCGCUGCGGAGGACCUGAUCGAGCGGAUCUGCCGGGAGAAGUCGCUACUCCCACCGGACCCCGUAGCGAGGAAGGCCCUCGCCGGCCUAGGGGAGGCCGCUGCCUUGGACAUCCUGCGGAAGGUGUCCUCCCGCAGAAUCAAGAAUUUGUCCGCGCUGAUCAU